RNAcentral lists this ribosomal RNA (253 nucleotides) under uncultured bacterium. Its description in RNAcentral is "partial 16S ribosomal RNA". It matches the Rfam family "Bacterial small subunit ribosomal RNA", at positions 524 to 776 of the family's 1533-position model. The record is from RNAcentral.
GACGAACCGUCCUAACGUUGUUCGGAAUCACUGGGCGUAAAGGGCGCGUAGGUGGCGACCCAAGUCUGUGGUGAAAGCUCGCCGCUUAACGGCGAGUCGGCCACGGAUACUGGGUGGCUCGAGCACUGUAGGGGCAGAUGGAAUUCCGGGUGUAGCGGUGGAAUGCGUAGAGAUCCGGAAGAACACCGGUGGCGAAGGCGGUCUGCUGGGCAGUAGCUGACACUGAGGCGCGACAGCGUGGGGAGCAAACAGG